AGUGAACGCUGGCGGCGUGCCUAAUACAUGCAAGUCGAACGGAGUGGCGCACGGGUGAGUAACGUAUAGCUAAUCUCCCCUAUACUAGAGGACUACCGUUGGAAACGACUGCUCAUACUCUAUAGUGUAGGAUGAGGCUAUAUUGUAUCAGCUAGUUGGUGAGGUAAUGGCUCACCAAGGCUAUGACGGAUAACUGGUCUGAGAGGUUGAUCAGUCAGACUGGAACUGAGACACGGGCCAGACUCCUACAGGAGGCCGCAGUAGGGAAUAUUGCUCAAUGGGGGAAACGCUGAAGCGGCAACGCCGCGGGGAGGAUGCCACGUUUCGGAGCGUAAACUGCUUUUGUUAGGGAAGCGGUAACUAACGAAUAAGCACCGGCUAACUCCGUGCCAGCAGCCGCGGUAAUUC
Molecule: ribosomal RNA, 408 nt
Filed under: uncultured bacterium
Lineage: Bacteria
Description: partial 16S ribosomal RNA
Rfam family: Bacterial small subunit ribosomal RNA
Source: RNAcentral